RNAcentral lists this ribosomal RNA (515 nucleotides) under uncultured bacterium. RNAcentral's name for it is "bacterial SSU rRNA". It matches the Rfam family "Bacterial small subunit ribosomal RNA", at positions 374 to 883 of the family's 1533-position model. The record is from RNAcentral.
GACGAAAGUCUGACGGAGCAACGCCGCGUGAGUGAAGAAGGUUUUCGGAUCGUAAAGCUCUGUCUUUGAGGACGAAUGUGUCUAAUGUGAAUAAUGUUAGAUAAUGACGGUACUCGAGGAGGAAGCCACGGCUAACUACGUGCCAGCAGCCGCGGUAAUACGUAGGUGGCAAGCGUUGUCCGGAAUUACUGGGUGUAAAGGGAGAGUAGGCGGCAUGGUAAGUUAGAUGUGAAAGCCCGAGGCUUAACCUCGGGAUUGCAUUUAAAACUAUCAAGCUAGAGUACAGGAGAGGUAAGUGGAAUUCCUAGUGUAGCGGUGAAAUGCGUAGAUAUUAGGAAGAACACCAGUGGCGAAGGCGACUUACUGGACUGAAACUGACGCUGAGGCUCGAAAGCGUGGGGAGCGAACAGGAUUAGAUACCCUGGUAGUCCACGCUGUAAACGAUGAGUGCUAGGUGUCGGGGGGGAACCCUCGGUGCCGCAGCUAACGCAAUAAGCACUCCACCUGGGGAGUAC